This is a non-coding RNA of Nicotiana tabacum (common tobacco), 3138 nucleotides long. NCBI's taxonomy places the organism in Eukaryota, Viridiplantae, Streptophyta, Magnoliopsida, Solanales, Solanaceae. The record is from RefSeq and is a predicted model, not a curated record.
AAGAACUUUUUGUGUUUGGUUAAAUGAGAAUUCUAUUUUCAUCUCUUUAUAGUUUGUUCUGCUUUUUCAAGUUUGCUCUUGUGUCGAUUUCUUUGAUAGGUUUUACCAUAGUUCCGUAUGGGAAAAUUGGAUAUGUUCUCACGAUUUUGUUAUGCAUAUGUUGUUUGACUUCUUCAGUAGUAUAUAUUCUGCUUUAUAUAUGUAUUGUUAUUGCCAUGCUUUUGAUUUUUUUUAAUGUGAACAUGUGUGACUGUAGGUGAUAUACCAGACUGUUGGUAGUUUUCACUUCCUUCAACAAGAGUAGGAUAAUGAACUUAAGAGUAAAUGAUUUUUGAAUUAACUUACAUUUGUCGGGGUUGGCUGGGCUGGUUCAUGGGUGGAUUACGAAGGUUUGUUGAUUAGGAUAUCUAAAUUAUAUAUAGUUUAUCAAACGAAGUUGAUGUGUAACGACUGCGGGAAGGAAACUUCAUAGCAUAUGGAGAGUACUUUGUCAGACAAAUGAAUGGUUCACAGUUCUCAUCUUUCACAUAACAGUAUAAAAUAAAAUGAAAUACUACGUUUUAAGUGAUAUUCUUAUAUUUAUCAUAAUAGCUUUCGGAAUCUGACUCCGAAAGUUGGAGUAGGUCCGUAAUUUUGAAUAUGACUUGUGUGCAAAAUUUGAGGUCAUUCGGACGUGGUUUGAUAGGUUUCGGCAUCGGUUAUGGAAAUUUGCAGUUUCGACAUGCUUGCUUAUGGAGGUGGGUUUUAUUGGAUUUGUGUACAUCAUCAGAUAUCUUCGUCUUCCUCAUCUCUUCAACUUGUGCAGUUCUUGUGAUCUAUUGUGGUUGCGUUCUACUUUUGUUAUGCAGUAGCACUUGAACCAGAAGGAAAAUCAAGUCGAAUGCAUUAUGUUCAAUGCGGAGAUAAUGCAUCUUGAAGAUCUGUUUUGCCAUUUCCAUACAUACUUGGUGUCAGUUGCACAAGUCAAAGAAUCAAACUAUAUGUCAAAUCCGCUUAACAAAUUUACAUGGACAAUUGAUAUAUAUACCAUUGUUGAGCCAAUAGAAACUGUUAAUCCUCCAGAAAGUCCAUUGUCGCCGCCAACGCGCCUAAAUCUUACACCAUUUGGCAACUUUGAAUAUCAACCUGAGGGAUCUGAAUUCGAUAUGCUUGCCAUUGUGCUCAACGCCAGUCCCUCAACAUAUGCUCCAAAUGGGAGGAGAAUUCAAGACUUUAUCAUCAUGGAUGAUCAGAAAAAACCAACGAAAUUCACACUCUGGGAAGAUUUUAUUGAUCAUGAAGGGAACAAACUACUCUAACUGCUUAAAGAAGAAUACCCAAUCAUCCUUGCUAGAAAAAUUGGAAGACCAAAGUCGUCGUCAGGAUUGACUAACAGAUUCAGUACAACAAUUGAAAUCAAUCCUCCAUACCCACAAGCAAAUGCGUUGAGAACAUGGGCCCAACAAAAUCAACAAAUGCUUAUUGCGUACACAAUGAAGAGCACAGGUCCAACAGGCUCUCUUUUAUAUGUUCCUUUCGAAGAAGAGAUAGUACCAAUUGUAGAAAUUCGACAGCAAGAUCCAGGCCAAAUAUUCUACAUACAGGCUGAAGUCACACUACAAAAUAAGAAUCAACGAUUGUCUAUUCUAGCUUGUUCAAACUGCAAACAACACUUCACACGAGCUAUCUCACGGAGAAUGUUCUAUUGCACUAAUUGCCGUCAAGCUACUCAGUUGGUUCCCAGGUGCCAAUUUGAAUUGACGCUUACAGAUCAGAGUGGUUCUACAAUAGCAACUAUUUCCGACGAGCCUGUAGAAAAAAUAUUGCUUCUCACUUCGGAAGAGAUUUAUGAUAUCUGCAAUGUCAAGAAAUAAUUGUUGCCUCUUGUGAACGCGCAAAAGCUAUUGAUUGGCAAGAUCUUCAAGAUUCAAAUAAAAAAGUUGUUUACAAGAAACAAUGAGGCAGAAAAGUUAAUUAUUUUGUCUUUCAUGGACAAAAGUAAUUCGGGUAUCUCACAAAUGCCAGCCACCAUCAAGGAUGUUGCGGAAGGAAGUAAACGAAAAAUUGAACACGUUGCCCCAGAGAAACAAGAGAACCCACACAUAACAACCAAAGGCAAUGAUUCCUACAACAAAUGUAAGGCGGAAAUGAAAAUUUUCCCUCCAAAAAACUGUUGAAAGUGAAACAUCUUUUUCUACUAUUUUGGGAUGCAAAUGAAUCCACAUCUGGGUGUUGUUUUUGAAUGCGGUUAAGCUCACUUUUGCGACUGCUUUCUGCAUGUUCCUCUACUAGGAAUAUGUCGUGCUGACAUGAGUUAUGUUCACUUUUACGCCUGCUUUCUGAAUGCUCCUCUACUCAACAAAUAUCACGACAACACAAGGGUGAAAAAUUUCUCAAAAAUUGUAGUGGAGGCAAUUUUAGAUUUUCGCAGUGAACAUUCCAUUCAGUUACAGGUAUUCCUGAGGCAUAGAGCGAGUUUUCUGCUGUUCAGUUUUCAUUGGAGUUAUCGAGAUAUUUUUGGUCAAAAGCUAAUAGAAAAAGGACCAGAAAGAAGAUCAAAGACAGCAUAUGUAAAUAAUUGUAUUAUACAUGUUGUAAAUGCUGUGGCACUUUAAACAUCUCUUAAUGUGAUGCUCCCGUGAACGCAAACAAUGUAUAUUUUGUUCAAAAUGUAUGUAAAUUAAGUGUGUAUCACUUAGUAUGAAAUAUUUUGUCAAAGCAGGCCCAUGCUCGACUUAUUCACCAAAUGAAAGAAUUAGAGCUAUUACAAAGGUAAAAAUGAAGUAAAAAACUCACAUUUGCCAUAUUCUUUAUCUUUUGUGUAGGAUCAAAAAUGCUUCUGACAAAGGCACUCUAUGCUCGACUCAUAUUGGGCCUGUGCUGGCACAUGCCAUCAUCGCCUAGUAAAUAAAAGAGACUCAUAAUUUUAUAUGGAAAACACCCAAAACACACCUUUUUCAUCGGAGAAAAAUCGAGAAGUGCCAUAUCUUAUGGUUUUGCUACCAAAAUUUCUCUGUGAACGUUGCAAAGGAAGCAAACCAGAGAGAAGAUGAGACGGAAAGGAAAUUUAUUGAGCUAUCAAUUGAAUUUGAGGAACCCACUUGAUGAGCGAUGAAUAUUUCCUUCUCUAGUAGAGCACACACGGAGCAGAUCUAAGAA